Molecule: long non-coding RNA, 188 nt
Organism: Orcinus orca (killer whale)
Lineage: Eukaryota; Metazoa; Chordata; Mammalia; Artiodactyla; Delphinidae
Exons: 3
Source: RefSeq, a predicted model, not a curated record
AUGCCAAAUGCAAAGCAGUUCAAAGGAGUAUAAAUGCUGGCUUUUUUGGUGGCCCUGCCUUUCAGAAAAUACUAGGAAUGGUCACCAGAGCCUGUUUUAUCCUCCUAAGGGAAGAAGUUGCCAUCUAAAAGGGUUCACACCCUGCAGACAUCACAUGGCUCUACCACCCCUCCAGCCACAUCUUUUAA